AAUUGCUCCCUAUGCCUUUGAGAACACAUUGAGAGUGAACCCUGUUUUUGAAAAUGACGAUGGCAUCUUGACUCAAGUAUCCAGCAUAAGUACACCAGCACCCUCGAGUAGUGGUGCUGGUUCUUCUCAAACAUCAGAGCAAGAAGCUUUUCGCGCUAUUGAAAAUAUACAUCUAAGUAUUGAGAUCCCCAGACAGCUCUACACAACCAGACCCGACAAGCUAGUCUCUGAAAUGGUAGAUUUCCAUCACUGUAUACCACACAACGAGACGUGGCGACCACCGAAUGAGUACCGAACCUGUUGCCUGUUAAGGGCAUCAGAAAACGAAUGCUUUGAGGUAACUGUUCUUUGAUGGCUAAUUUCUUGGCACCAAGAUUCUUGGUUGCUUUGAACUUGAGCGGUAUACUCGAAAUAUAUCUUGUCUCUUGGAAAUUCACGUCAUGGCAGUGGACUCAUCAAUUACUGGAAUUACUGCAUACAUGGAGAAGUGUACCUAGGAUUGGAUGUUACUGGAAUUACUGCAUACAUGGAGAAGUGUACCUGGAGUUGGAUCUUACUGGAAUUACUACAUACAUGGAGAAGUGUACCUAGGAUUGGAUGCAUAUUGCAGACGGCGUGUGGAUAUUACAUGCUGGACUAGAAGGUUGUGUUAAGGUAUACCCAUCUAUUUAUACACAGAGUAUUUUCCUAACAUUGAGUUGCACCCACCCCUUUUUGCCAUCAGAACAGCCUCAAUUCGUCAGGGCAUGGACUCUUCAAGGUGUCGAAGGCAAUCCAUAGGG
Molecule: long non-coding RNA, 782 nt
Organism: Oncorhynchus kisutch (coho salmon)
Lineage: Eukaryota; Metazoa; Chordata; Actinopteri; Salmoniformes; Salmonidae
Exons: 3
Source: RefSeq, a predicted model, not a curated record